RNAcentral lists this RNase P RNA (407 nucleotides) under Streptomyces liliifuscus. Its description in RNAcentral is "Streptomyces sp. ZYC-3 RNase P RNA component class A". It matches the Rfam family "Bacterial RNase P class A". From Rfam's summary of the family: Ribonuclease P (RNase P) is a ubiquitous endoribonuclease, found in archaea, bacteria and eukarya as well as chloroplasts and mitochondria. Its best characterised activity is the generation of mature 5'-ends of tRNAs by cleaving the 5'-leader elements of precursor-tRNAs. Cellular RNase Ps are ribonucleoproteins. Lineage: Bacteria; Bacillati; Actinomycetota; Actinomycetes; Kitasatosporales; Streptomycetaceae. The record is from RNAcentral.
CGAGCCGGGCGGACGGCCGCGUGGAGUCCCCUUCGGGGGCGCUUCCCGAGGAACGUCCGGGCUCCACAGGGCAGGGUGGUGGCUAACGGCCACCCGGGGUGACCCGCGGGACAGUGCCACAGAAAGCAAACCGCCCAGCGCUUCGGCGCUGGGUAAGGGUGAAACGGUGGUGUAAGAGACCACCAGCGCCUGAGGCGACUCAGGCGGCUAGGUAAACCCCACCCGGAGCAAGGUCAAGAGGAGCGCGGUAACACGCGCUCUGCGCGGACGUUCGAGGGCGGCCCGCCCGAGUCCGCGGGUAGACCGCACGAGGCCGGCGGCAACGCCGGCCCUAGAUGGAUGGCCGUCUCCCCGGCCGCCGCGAGGCGACCGGGAGACAGAACCCGGCGUACAGCCCGACUCGUCUG